AGAGAGGUGGCCGAGUGGUUUAAGGCGCACGCUUGGAAAGCGUGUAUUCUAGAAAUGGAAUCGAGGGUUCGAAUCCCUUCCUCUCUGCAA
RNAcentral lists this transfer RNA (90 nucleotides) under Flavobacteriales bacterium. RNAcentral describes it as "tRNA-Ser". It matches the Rfam family "tRNA". From Rfam's summary of the family: Transfer RNA (tRNA) molecules are approximately 80 nucleotides in length. Their secondary structure includes four short double-helical elements and three loops (D, anti-codon, and T loops). Further hydrogen bonds mediate the characteristic L-shaped molecular structure. tRNAs have two regions of fundamental functional importance: the anti-codon, which is responsible for specific mRNA codon recognition, and the 3' end, to which the tRNAs corresponding amino acid is attached (by aminoacyl-tRNA synthetases). tRNAs cope with the degeneracy of the genetic code in two manners: having more than one tRNA (with a specific anti-codon) for a particular amino acid; and 'wobble' base-pairing, i.e. permitting non-standard base-pairing at the 3rd anti-codon position. The record is from RNAcentral. Lineage: Bacteria; Pseudomonadati; Bacteroidota; Flavobacteriia; Flavobacteriales.